This is an RNA transcript of Pipra filicauda (Wire-tailed manakin), 2323 nucleotides long. It is a transcript of the gene named mitochondrial contact site and cristae organizing system subunit 13, with no coding region annotated. The transcript is spliced from 5 exons. The record is from RefSeq and is a predicted model, not a curated record. NCBI's taxonomy places the organism in Eukaryota, Metazoa, Chordata, Aves, Passeriformes, Pipridae.
UUUGCAGGUUGCCACUACAGCUGUAAAACUGCACACCAUGCAGUCUGCUGGGAAACUUUAAAAGCCUGGGCAAUGCAAACACCAUAGCCAGAUGUUAACUGGACUUUAAUGAGCUUAACGAGGUAUUGGUGUCUAUCCUCAUUAAUAAGGCAGCAAGAAGCACAUGGAUGACUUACCCACUGCAGAAUCCGUUAGUUCCUUUUAUCAAAGGUUUGUUAUCAAAGGAAGCCUGGCUGGAGCUGCUGUAUAUGUGGCAUAUGAUCAGGGGCUGCUGGGCAGUGGCACACAAGGUGCUGAAGCACUCAAAAAAGCUCAAGCAGCACUGCCUCCAGCUAUCCAGGAGUGGACGAGUUACCUAGGCUGGGAGCUCCCACCCACUCCAAAAUUUGACUUUUCCCUCUCUGAUUCCUGGAAUAAAGGAGUGCAGUCAGUCAUGUCUGCCUUGUCUGUAGCUCCCGCCAGGGCCUGUGAAUACACGGUGGAAGGCUGGAAGUAUGUGAAGGAUCUUGUCAAAUGAACACGUUCUCCAGGGUUCAUGAUUCUCUUUGUCCUGUGUUGUCUUUGAGAGGAUGCAGAGUCCGUCGCUCUGGAGGGCAGCUCAGCCGUGCAAUACAGUGGAGGUAAGACACCAACCUGUCUAUUGAAUGCUCUUGGUAACGACCACGGUCUCUGUGAUCAAAGUCAUGGAAGCGAUCCUGGCGACUGAAAUCUGAGUGAUACCUAUCAUUCAUUGCCAUUCGUUUUGCCUCUGGCCAGUACGGAUCAUCCCUCCUGAGAAAAGAACGUAGUCAUUUUAGUCCAGAUAAUGACUUUUGAUAUUGUUCCCCCCUCCAAACUAAAGUGCAAACUAGUGCAAACUAAAAGAAGGGUAAUUAAGUUCAAAAUGGAGUUGAAAAACCUUAGAGAGGAUAGCUUGACUAGGGGUCUUAAACAGUCAGCUCAAUGCAGUCAACAACUGCUGACUGAUGGAAGCUGAGAGCAUAUGUAUGGCUUUUUAUAGCCCAGGCUGAUGAGAAAGAACCUGGCAGCAAUGUCUCCCACUUGCAUAAUCUGUAUUUGCUGGCUUCACCUGCCAUCUAUGUCAUAUGGUCUCCUCAUUGCAGACCGACGUUCCUGUUCAUAGCGCAGUUGCUCAUGCUGGCGCCGCAGCUCUUCUCUUUCUCGUUGAAUGCGGUCUUGUUCUCUUCUCCUUUCAUGCUCUAUGUGCAUUCGUUCUCUUUCCAGUCUUUCCCUUUCCAUCCGUUCUCGUUCAAGACGCUGCCUUUCAAUUUCCAGUCUCUCCCGAGCAAUCUCAAGCCUCUCCCUUUCUUCUCGUUCACGGAUAGUCUGUAGGUGCUGCUGUCUCUCCCGACGCUCACGUGUGCUAUUUUAACAGAAACAAAAGGUUACAGAUGUAAUACUUCAACAAAUAAAGGAAGUUAAAAAGAAAAACAAAAAGAAGAAAAAGAGAAAGAAGCGUUAAAAAUUAAUAGCACAGUGACUGUUCAGCUCCUUGAAAUUAUACCUGGGAAGGGUGUGGGAGGGAGGGCAUGGAGGGAAGACACUCAGUGUACACUGGAAUUACUUGUAUUAAGAGACCGAUCAUAUUACUCCCACAAAACCCACCUGUGGGGGCAAAUAAUUCCAUAUGGUCAGGGGAAUUUGAAUCCAAAUGCCCAUAGCUCAUUUCUUAUACUGAAAUAAAGUAUCUGUGAAGAAUAUUUUAUUUCUGUCAAGAAAGCCAGAAUGGUAUGCUGGAUAAUGACUUCACUCAAGCUCAGAAAUCUAACUAUGAGAGACAAACUUCUUCCUCUCCAUUAAGAAUGACAAAAGCAUUUUUCUCCUGGUUAAUUCAACUACUUUUAGGUGAGGAAUAAAAGUUUUGUAAUGUGUGGAAAACAUGGAAUUCAAGUCACAGUUUUAGCAAGGAAUUUGAAGGAUGGCCAUUAUGACCUUUAUCCUGUAUUAAACAUCAUGAAAACAAAAAUAAAACCCCACCCAAAAUAAAUAAAUACCCGAAUUAAGUUCAAUAGAUAUGUGACCCAGAAACAUUUAACAAGUUGCAAGUGAAAAAAAACCCCUGAAAGCCUCUUAUCUCUUAGUCAUUUUAAUUAAAAUGAAAAUAAAAUAUGCAUUAUAGGGUAAAAAAUGUCAAACAAUUUCAUAGUUGCUCUUACCGGCGCUGCUCUGCCUCCCUCAUUUUUCGCUGUGCUUUAAUUUUGUCAAAUGGCACAAUGCCUUGUCUCUCUCUGCUCUCUGAUUUGCGAUCCUGGCUCUUAAUGCUCUGUAUUUAAUAUUGAAAGUAGAGAAACUUAAUUUAUUAAAGGACAACUAUUACAAACAA